AGUGAGAUUAGCUUGUUGGUGAGGUAACGGCCCACCAAACCUACGAUGGAUAGGGGUUCUGAGAGGAAGGUCCCCCACAUUGGAACUGAGACACGGUCCAAACUCCUACGGGAGGCAGCAGUGAGGAAUAUUGGUCAAUGGACGGAAGUCUGAACCAGCCAAGUAGCGUGAAGGAUGACUGCCCUAUGGGUUGUAAACUUCUUUUGUAUGGGAAUAAAGUGCGCCACGUGUGGUGUUUUGUAUGUACCAUUAUGAAUAAGCAUCGGCUAACUCCGUGCCAGCAGCCGCGGUAAUACGGAGGAUGCGAGCGUUAUCCGGAUUUAUUGGGUUUAAAGGGAGCGUAGGUGGGCUGGUAAGUCAGCUGUGAAAGUUUGCGGCUCAACCGUAAAAUUGCAGUUGAUACUGUCAGUCUUGAGUACAGUAGAGGUUAGCGGAAUUCGUGGUGUAGCGGUGAAAUGCUUAGAUAUCACGAAGAACUCCAAUUGCGAAGGCAGCUGACUAGACUGUUACUGACACUGAUGCUCGAAAGUGUGGGUAUCAAACAGGAUUAGAUACCCUGGUAGUCCACACAGUAAACGAUGAAUACUCGCUGUUUGCGAUAUAC
RNAcentral lists this ribosomal RNA (604 nucleotides) under uncultured bacterium. Its description in RNAcentral is "bacterial SSU rRNA". It matches the Rfam family "Bacterial small subunit ribosomal RNA", at positions 234 to 834 of the family's 1533-position model. The record is from RNAcentral.